Long non-coding RNA from Harpegnathos saltator (Jerdon's jumping ant), 2957 nucleotides. RefSeq lists it as uncharacterized. NCBI's taxonomy places the organism in Eukaryota, Metazoa, Arthropoda, Insecta, Hymenoptera, Formicidae. The transcript has 2 exons. The record is from RefSeq and is a predicted model, not a curated record.
CCACUUGCAUCAAUUAAGUGUUUCCUCGUCGAGUGAGAUUAUCCACCUAAUAAUAAUAAUAAUAAUAAUAAUAACAAUAAUAAGAGUCCACUCGAUUAAUGAAAUGCGUGAUUGCUAAAGAGAAGAAGCCGAGCUGCUGAUUAGAUAGACACGAGGAGAGCCCCUGGAUGCUCGUCCGCGCGCGAUACAACGGCGCAAGAAGCAGUGAAAGGAAGAACUUUGUCGAUUAGAAGAUACACCCGUAAGAAAGUCCGUCAGUGAUCCUCCACGAGGAGAAACCUAAUAAUAUAAGUUUUCAAUGGAGAACGAAAGGGACGGAAGGCGCGAGAUGUGUCGAGGGACACAAUCGCCCUUUUCGACGAUUGAUUAAAGCGUCAAGAAUGUCGAAUACGAGAGAUGUAGAAGCAGUCGAUAAUAUAUCACAAACCAUCGCGAAUAAUUCCUCACUAAGUCGCGUGGAGUCGCGGAGAAUCGCGGUGAACGAUAUAUUCUUCGCUGAGGUAGACACGCAUAAAUCACGCAGACUGAUAUCACGGCGGAAGAUCGCUUCGUGUCGUCGUGUUCCGUCGAGGAGCGCGACGCUGAUAAACAAUUCGUCAUUUAAUCCAAAUCGAUCGCGAGACGUCGAGAACACACACACACAAAGAGUCUGGGGGCGUGCAUUUCCCUGUGAAGGAACGACCGUUUGCUCACAGCGACCCCUCCUAAUUAAACAGAGAAAAGAAAAGCUGCUCGACGGCCACGUAGGAUAGAAGAAAGAAGCGAUCGCUGGAGCGACGAGGAAACGUCAAUGGGCGCGAUGGAGAGGACAGGCUAGGGAGAGAAAGAGAGCGCGAACGAGAGGGGGAGCGGGAGAUAAGAGGAAGGGGAGGGAUAGAUCGUGUGAGUCAGUGAUGGCGUGUACAGCAGCAGCAGCCAGCCAGGCCAGGCCAGGCCGCCGAGCCCAGCUGUUCUUCGAUCCCCUAACCUACGUCAGUUUAUUUCAGACACUAACACUGAGCGCGCGGUCUCUCGCGGAGCAGCGCUCGUUCGCUCGCCCACCGAGAGUCGAGCCUCUGCGCGACUGCAGUCUCGUUAACGCGCGAGACUCUCGCGCGACGCAGCUCCUUCUUACACACACGCCUCUUCUUCUUCGGUUCGUUCUUGCUCGUCGACGACGGAAAACACCGAUCGACCGACGUGGUCGAUCUGAGCGAGUCAAUCGUGCUUCGCGAGGAACUUUCGUAUACUCUAUCCGUGUUUACUUACGCGCGCGAUCGAGUGACGACACGCGAUACGGAACCUAUCGCUGAUUGUGCGCUGCGCGCGCGCGUGUGUGUGUGUGUGUGUAGCCGAUCGGGACGACUGAGACUAGAGGAUCGAUUGAGAGCGCAUUUCCGGUUGUAAGACACCGUCGAAACAUCCUGUUGUGCUCGAAAAAGAGGAACUCGCGGCCGCGGUCGCCGUUGAAAUACGAUCGAUCCGGCGAUUAUUAACCGGCCGAUCGGACAGUGUGUCGCCGGUCGUAUCGGCGUAUAUAACGGCGAACGAAAUCGGGGGGAACGCGGCGAUCAACUUUCGAGGGAAACCGAGGGGUACGCGCACAGAGCGAGCGGAGCGGAGCGGAGCGGAGCGCAGCGCCGCGCGCUUGACCGUGUCGCGUGAUAUAUCCGAUCGUGCGCGACACGCACGUGCGUAUCCGUGCGCCGCGUGUGGCGUGUCGAGUCGAGUCGCGUCGAGUCGCGUCGCGUCGCGUUUGCGAAACGGCGUCGGCGGCGUCGUGUGGGUUGCGCGAGCGUGCAGCUGUGCAGCUACAACUACAACUAUAAAUGGAACAUGUGAGGCAUUGACACGUAUAUCACGGGGGAGAAUCGAACAGCGGGGAACGAUCGAGACUGUUUCGCGCUGCCUUAAAUAGAGAACGGCCAGCCUCGACGAUGGUGCGCCAGUGAGUUUAACACGGCGACGACGACGGGCGACAUUCGUUGUACGGAGAAUGUUCGACUGUCGCUCGGGGAGACGAGCGGGGAGACAACUUUGCCUUUGGCGGGGAAGAUCUGUGAUUAGACACGGUCGCCCGGCGACUGUGUCUCGAGUGUUGGCUGAUGAAUGCGCGCUGUGAUAGCAUGACCGAAAUUGAAUUGAAGGACGGACAGUGCACGUGAAAUGUCUCGAUGCUUUACCGAUGCUUUAUUCAAUAUCGUCUGCAGUUGCGCGCGACAAGUUGCGGGACAAGCGCGGAUCACAACGUAGACCAGUGUUUGUGUUACAUGGAUAUCUCUCGCGCGAAAAUAUUGCCUUCGCCAAGACGCCAAGACUUGCAGCAUCUGAUCCGUCCGGAAGCUACGUGAUCUAGGAUCGCGACGAGGACUAUCGACUCGAGCAGGAGGAUCGCAUCGAGCAGGAGGAGGAGGAGGUGUUGUGUGAAUUCGCGACGAAAAGCACCUACAACGAGGCGUCCGCCGCGCGUGAUUAGACACGCGCGACUAAUUGCACUCGCGAAACUCGCGCGCUGGGCUGCGCCGGGCACUUUGUGCACAGUGAAGGAAGAGAAGAAGGAGAGAGCGUCAAGGCGCUCAAGGAUACUCGUGGGCCGCGAUGGCGGUGAUGGCAAAGCGGCGACGGCAACGGCGGCGGUGAUGGCUGAAAUGCCAGAGGGACGUUUUGAAAAUCUUUGGUUCGACGCAUGCGUCCCUUUGCACUCGGCAGCCGAUGGAGCGCGAUGGAGCCGCCGUCAUCGUCGUCUCUGAGCUGCUGCUGCUGCUGCUGCUGCUAUUACUAGACGAAAAUCACAAUCCGCCGUUAGUGCCCGAGAGGAAGGACGACGUCGUCGAUUCGCGAAUCGGUACUGAUAAUCGACUCGAUCAUUUAUCGUGGGGACCGCUGCGUCGUCACGAACCUCAAAACGAGACAGUUGUUCGCUCGCGAGGUCGUCUCGAUACGAUCGAUAACUAGUGAAGGAGAGAGACAGAGAGAGA